CUUUAAUUAAACAUGUUCUUUCCUGGAGAAAUUGCACUUGAUACAAAAAACAGCUCUAGGGUACAAAGAGACAUAUGACUUCCUCUUGCAGCUCCACUGACUUCGCAAGUAUAAAACUCACUCAUUGCCCUUAACAAAGAAGUUCUUCUGUAUGAAGCUUAGACAUGACAAGAUAAAGGAGCUAUGGUUGAUUCAUCAGGGUGCUGGAUCAAAGGGGGAAAACAUGAGUGCAUAAUGGCUCCAAUCCCUGCAACAUCCUUACCAUCAUCUGAGUGUGAAUGAUCGUCACAGACAUCCAUAAAAGACAAUCACAAAGGACAAAAAGACUCACCCUCUUAGCAACUCUUAACCCCUAUCAGUGACGUCAUUUCACAGUGAUGAAAAAUGCAUUUCUAUGAAUAAAAUACAUCUGAAAAACAGCAGAGGUCACAGAUUGUGCUGCUGCAAGAAAAGGGCACGAUCCAGGUGGUCAAAAACAUGAGAAUGUUUUAUAUUAAGCGCUUCAAACAAACUCAUAAGUGUAUUAACGUGGCAUGUUGUGUCAGAUGCUGAGACAGAUGCGUGUGCUGUUUAAUGUGUUCCAUGCAUGUUUUCUUAAGUGCAAAAAUUACAUUUUUACAUUUAUAUCCUUAUCUGUAAAUGUUAGAAAUUCAUGCCAGUAUUUCCAUUUUACAUAAAGGAUCGUCCUGACAGGGGACAAUCUCCAUUAAACUUCACUGAAUGAGAGCAAGUCUGCGCAU
Long non-coding RNA from Ictalurus punctatus (channel catfish), 740 nucleotides. RefSeq lists it as uncharacterized. Lineage: Eukaryota; Metazoa; Chordata; Actinopteri; Siluriformes; Ictaluridae. The record is from RefSeq and is a predicted model, not a curated record. The transcript is spliced from 3 exons.